GAUGAACGCUGGCGGCGUGCUUAACACAUGCAAGCCGAACGGAAAGGCCCAAGCUUGCUUGGGUACUCGAGUGGCGAACGGGUGAGUAACACGUGGGUGAUCUGCCCUGCACUUCGGGAUAAGCCUGGGAAACUGGGUCUAAUACCGGAUAGGACCACAUUUUGGAUGGUGUGGUGGAAAGUUUUUCGGUGUGGGAUGAGCUCGCGGCCUAUCAGCUUGUUGGUGGGGUAAUGGCCUACCAAGGCGUCGACGGGUAGCCGGCCUGAGAGGGUGUACGGCCACAUUGGGACUGAGAGACGGCCCAGACUCCUACGGGAGGCAGCAGUGGGGAAUAUUGCACAAUGGGCGCAAGCCUGAGGCAGCGACGCCGCGUGGGGGAUGACGGCCUUCGGGUUGUAAACUCCUUUCGCUAGGGACGAAGCGUUUUUGUGACGGUACCUGGAGAAGAAGCACCGGCUAACUAUGUG
This 467-nucleotide ribosomal RNA is filed under the name uncultured bacterium. RNAcentral describes it as "partial 16S ribosomal RNA". It matches the Rfam family "Bacterial small subunit ribosomal RNA", at positions 28 to 507 of the family's 1533-position model. The record is from RNAcentral.